UCUGUGUCCACGUACUGACGUGGUCAAAAAAGGAAGCAGGUAUCAGUCCUGAGCGGUCCCGCCACUGUAUUUGGAGAGCCUUGAUUCGAUGUAGGAGCCGGCAUAAUUGCAGGUGAAAUGCAGAUCCAUUAGCGAAAGCUGAGAAGGAUGGAAUCAAGGUGAUGAUCCAUGAGCCAGGAGACUUACAUGGAA
This 192-nucleotide non-coding RNA is filed under the name uncultured Butyrivibrio sp. Lineage: Bacteria; Bacillati; Bacillota; Clostridia; Lachnospirales; Lachnospiraceae. The record is from RNAcentral.